UCCGCCAUCAGCUGAGGAUUG
RNAcentral lists this microRNA (21 nucleotides) under Triops cancriformis. Its description in RNAcentral is "tcf-miR-10343". The record is from miRBase by way of RNAcentral. Lineage: Eukaryota; Metazoa; Arthropoda; Branchiopoda; Notostraca; Triopsidae.